This 658-nucleotide long non-coding RNA is filed under the name Mytilus galloprovincialis (Mediterranean mussel). The record is from RNAcentral. Lineage: Eukaryota; Metazoa; Mollusca; Bivalvia; Mytilida; Mytilidae.
GAGAAAUUUAGACAUAAAUGCUGAUUAAUAAAAAAAACAAAAAACAAACACAAUUGAUGAUUUAAUUGCAGGAAAUGCGAAAUUGGAAAGCCUUGUUUUAAUCUAAUAAUAACAGCACACAAUGAGUAUUCAAGUGCUGACUUUAACAAAAAGUUACACAUUCUGAUCGGCAGUUUCCUUGCUCUCAAGUUAAAUUGGCAAUCAUACUACAUCUUUUAAUAUAAUAUUUAUACAACAAUGUAAAUAAAACAAGACAACCACGCUCGAAUUUUACAGCAAUAAAAAAAACCCCAUAUAUUGGUAAAACAUCAAAUUCACUGAUUCACAUGAAAUCCCGUUAUAUUCGAAGGUAAAGCAGUUAUCUCCAAGCACUCCGUUUUAUGUCGCUAAUUAACAAACUGACUGCCACGAUACAGCUAAUAGUGAUAAAAGUUACGUUAAACACCAACAAUUAACCAAUCUUAACGUCCAAUGAAAAUAAUCUUGGAUAUUCAGAAGAGAAAAAUGGAAAAUGGGAAAAGACUGCUGUCUGUAAAAGUGAGCAUAAUGGAGGGGCACACAUUUUGAGUCGAAUGGAUCACCUACGGGUCCCUGAAGUCCAUGAUUGAAAAAAAAAUACACAAAAAAAACCAGAUAACUUGCUUUCUUUCAUUGCGGC